This 864-nucleotide ribosomal RNA is filed under the name Triticum aestivum (bread wheat). RNAcentral's name for it is "partial small subunit ribosomal RNA". The record is from RNAcentral. Lineage: Eukaryota; Viridiplantae; Streptophyta; Magnoliopsida; Poales; Poaceae.
AUGGAAGGUCAUAAACUCUGUGCUCAUUGGCUGGUUGUUGAACUCGGUGGUGCCCCCCAUUGGACGCUCUGUGGAGGGGCUAUCCCAUCCGCUGCGAUAUGGACGACUCUGUCCACCUUGUACUCAGGUAAGGGCAAUGUCAUGCUAAUUGCUCAGAUUGAGGGGAAGAUCAGUCGGCUGCAUCAAGGCGACGACAUGUCAGUGAUGACAUAUGUGGCAGAGCUGCGGGCUUUGUGGGCAGAGCAGGAUAACUGCGACCCUCUGGAACUCUACGAUGCGGCUUGCAUCGAGUCAGGGCGCAAGUGGAUUGCACGCAGGCGUGUGCUGAAACUGUUGGAGGGGCUUAGAGGUUGUUUUCAUGGCAGGAGGGCAUCCCUGUUGCACCAACCUCUCCUUCCCUCUAUUGAGGAGACUAUUGCUGCUAUGUCUCAAGAGGAGGUGCGGCUAUCUCUUGAGCAUGCAGACAUGAAGGCUGUGCCGUCUUCGACAUUUGCAGUCACUGAGCGCAUGGAGUGGAGCGAUCCCAACAAAUGUCAUAUCUGUGGGGAGGCAGGUCACUGGAAGUGGGCGUGUCCAACUCGUGGCAGAGGCAGGGGAUACAACGGAGGGGGAACUGGCAGAGGCAGGAGUGCUAGAGGCAGAGGUGGAUACUCAGGGACCUCAAGGGGUCAGGCUUCUAGGGGCAGAGGUGGCUACUCAGGACACUCAGGGGAUCAGAGGGCUCACAUGACAGUGGAAGGAGACACUAGGACGUCAAAAGGCAAAGAUGCAGAUGAUGUUGACUAUGGAGACUUUGCUCUCUGGGCCUCCACUGAUGAAGGAGCGACAGACGAGCCAGACAGUUGGGACUGGCACCAGGCGUAG